This 465-nucleotide ribosomal RNA is filed under the name uncultured bacterium. Its description in RNAcentral is "partial 16S ribosomal RNA". It matches the Rfam family "Bacterial small subunit ribosomal RNA", at positions 28 to 507 of the family's 1533-position model. The record is from RNAcentral.
GACGAACGCUGGCGGUGUGCUUAACACAUGCAAGUCGAACGGUAAGGCCCUUUCGGGGGUACACGAGUGGCGAACGGGUGAGUAACACGUGAGUAACCUGCCCUCAUCUCUGGGAUAACAGUCGGAAACGGUUGCUAAUACUGGAUAUGAGCCUGCAAGGCAUCUUGUGGGUUGGAAAGAUUUUUUGGUUGGGGAUGGACUCGCGGCCUAUCAGCUUGUUGGUGAGGUAGUGGCUCACCAAGGCUUCGACGGGUAGCCGGCCUGAGAGGGCGACCGGCCACAUUGGGACUGAGAUACGGCCCAAACUCCUACGGGAGGCAGCAGUGGGGAAUAUUGCACAAUGGACGGAAGUCGGAUGCAGCAACGCCGCGUGCGGGAUGACGGCCUUCGGGUUGUAAACCGCUUUCAAUUGUGACGAAGCUUUUUGUGACGGUAGCAGGAGAAGAAGCACCGGCUAACUACGUG